Molecule: transfer RNA, 82 nt
Filed under: Burkholderia cepacia
Lineage: Bacteria; Pseudomonadati; Pseudomonadota; Betaproteobacteria; Burkholderiales; Burkholderiaceae
Description: tRNA-Val(tac)
Source: RNAcentral
GCCCACCGUUGCCGAUGGACGGCGAGCCGCUUUACGAGCGGCUCGCCGAGCAUUACCGCCGCAUCAUCGCGGCCGGCACGCU